AUUGAACGCUGGCGGCAUGCUUUACACAUGCAAGUCGAACGGUAACAGGCCUUCGGGUGCUGACGAGUGGCGAACGGGUGAGUAAUGCAUCGGAACGUACCCAGAGGUGGGGGAUAACGCAGCGAAAGCUGUGCUAAUACCGCAUGUGAUCUGAGGAUGAAAGCGGGGGACCGAGCAGCAAUGUUUGGCCUCGCGCCUUUGGAGCGGCCGAUGUCGGAUUAGCUAGUUGGUGGGGUAAAGGCCUACCAAGGCGACGAUCCGUAGCUGGUCUGAGAGGCCGACCAGCCACACUGGGACUGAGACACGGCCCAGACUCCUACGGGAGGCAGCAGUGGGGAAUUUUGGACAAUGGGCGCAAGCCUGAUCCAGCAAUGCCGCGUGCGGGAAGAAGGCCUUCGGGUUGUAAACCGCUUUUGGCAGGAACGAAACGGUGUCCGCUAAUACCGGGCGCUAAUGACGGUACCUGCAGAAUAAGCACCGGCUAACUACGUG
This 492-nucleotide ribosomal RNA is filed under the name uncultured bacterium. Its description in RNAcentral is "partial 16S ribosomal RNA". It matches the Rfam family "Bacterial small subunit ribosomal RNA", at positions 29 to 507 of the family's 1533-position model. The record is from RNAcentral.